CACUGAGAAAAAAUUUUACCACCCUAUGGAAACUAACCCUUUUAUUCAGGAUAAGACUCAUGUCAUACUCAGGUAAACUAACGUAUUUACCAACGAUGCCUUAGUUCGUUCGUAGCUCCUGCGAUGGUGUGAGGCAGUACUCAUCGAUGCUUGGUAUUUGUGCUCAGGAUCAUGAGUAUGUGGUUAGUAAUCUAGCCGUGAGUAUGCUUCCAGCUCGCUGAUUGGUUGAGCCGAUGUGGCACAGCCGCGCACGUUUCGCGCGCGUCUGCCAUUAUUUCAGUUGAAUUCCGUUGCUUGGUGGUGAAGGUGCGUCGCUCGCGUGUGCAGCAUUUUAUGGACGUGGUGUGCAGAAACUGAAACUCGGAUUCCGAGGCCAAUAUUUCUUUUGGAUAUACCACCGCACUGCUGCCGGGGCUGGUGCCGGUACAGACGCUCGCCCCGAUCGACGCCGGAUGCUCGCCGCCGGGUGGCUUCAGAAUGUGAAGUCUGCCUGCUCCUGUUCGAUAGGUAAAGUUUCGGAGACACUGGUGCGUCUUCUGGAAACUGCAGUCUCAAGGAUGGUGACGGAGAAAGUACGCCCAUGGUUUUCCAGUCCCUCGCGCUACUGAGCCAAAAUACCAGCACCCUUCGAGCUGCAGUGCGCCGAUCUCGCGGUAGGAAGCGGUUCAAAAACUAAGCGAUCUCGCGCAGUGUUUGCGAUCUAUGGGAGUGUUUCAUUGUUUUUUUUUUACGGACUUCUUUUAGUGUUGUGUUUAACGGAUUACGCCCCGUACCCGGCUCUUGAAUUGCAUGUUGGCAGAGAUGUC
RNAcentral lists this long non-coding RNA (806 nucleotides) under Amphibalanus amphitrite. RNAcentral's name for it is "uncharacterized LOC122379119". Lineage: Eukaryota; Metazoa; Arthropoda; Thecostraca; Balanomorpha; Balanidae. The record is from RNAcentral.